CCUACGGGGUGCAGCAGUGGGGAAUAUUGCACAAUGGGCGCAAGCCUGAUGCAGCCAUGCCGCGUGUAUGAAGAGGGCCUUCGGGUUGUAAAGUACUUUCAGCGAGGAGGAAGGCGUUAAGGUUAAUAACCUUGGCGAUUGACGUUACUCGCAGAAGAAGCACCGGCUAACUCCGUGCCAGCAGCCGCGGUAAUACGGAGGGUGCAAGCGUUAAUCGGAAUUACUGGGCGUAAAGCGCACGCAGGCGGUCUGUUAAGUCAGAUGUGAAAUCCCCGGGCUCAACCUGGGAACUGCAUUUGAAACUGGCAAGCUGGAGUCUCGUAGAGGGGGGUAGAAUUCCAGGUGUAGCGGUGAAAUGCGUAGAGAUCUGGAGGAAUACCGGUGGCGAAGGCGGCCCCCUGGACGAAGACUGACGCUCAGGUGCGAAAGCGUGGGGAGCAAACAGGAUUAGAUACCCGCGUAGUC
Molecule: ribosomal RNA, 465 nt
Filed under: uncultured bacterium
Lineage: Bacteria
Description: bacterial SSU rRNA
Rfam family: Bacterial small subunit ribosomal RNA
Source: RNAcentral